This 251-nucleotide ribosomal RNA is filed under the name uncultured prokaryote. RNAcentral's name for it is "partial 16S rRNA". It matches the Rfam family "Bacterial small subunit ribosomal RNA", at positions 525 to 775 of the family's 1533-position model. The record is from RNAcentral.
ACGGAGGGUGCAAGCGUUAAUCGGAAUUACUGGGCGUAAAGCGCACGCAGGCGGUUUGUUAAGUCAGAUGUGAAAUCCCCGGGCUCAACCUGGGAACUGCAUCUGAUACUGGCAAGCUUGAGUCUCGUAGAGGGGGGUAGAAUUCCAGGUGGUGCGGGGAAAAGGGUUGAGGUCCGGAGGAAUUCCGGUGGCGAAGGCCGCCCCCCGGAAGAAAACCUGACGUUCGGUUGCAAAGCGUGGGGAGCAAACAG